RNAcentral lists this ribosomal RNA (253 nucleotides) under uncultured prokaryote. RNAcentral's name for it is "partial 16S ribosomal RNA". It matches the Rfam family "Bacterial small subunit ribosomal RNA", at positions 525 to 777 of the family's 1533-position model. The record is from RNAcentral.
ACGGGGGGGGCAAGCGUUGUUCGGAAUUACUGGGCGUAAAGGGCGCGUAGGCGGCUUUAUAAGUCGGGGGUGAAAGCCUGUGGCUCAACCACAGAAUUGCCUUCGAUACUGUAGAGCUUGAGACCGGAAGAGGUAAGUGGAACUGCGAGUGUAGAGGUGAAAUUCGUAGAUAUUCGCAAGAACACCAGUGGCGAAGGCGGCUUACUGGUCCGGUUCUGACGCUGAGGCGCGAAAGCGUGGGGAGCAAACAGGA